AGCACUUUAAAGGGAAUAACACAUUAAUAAUCCUACAUAUUUAGUGACGCUUUAACGCGGAGUAUUUAUUUUAAAAAAUAAAUAAAAAAGAGAGAGAGAGCUGAAAAUCCCUCCCUCUGCUCAUCUUAUACUGUUUUUUUAGCCAGGCUUUACUCUGGCGAAACCCGAGCCACCCGGGUCUGAUUGGUUGACUCCCAAAUGAGUCCUUAUUAGGCCCAAAGUGCACUACAGUGCGUUGUCGAUGCUAUUCUCUCAUACCCUAUGUAGUGCACUCGUGCAGGGAGCGGACGGCUAUUUGGGGCUGGACAGCAAUCAUGGCGGCUUGACGGUGGUACAUAUGCGUUUUUGUUACAGAGCACUGAAGUAUGCUGCGAUGUGUUAGCCGGACGACCCAGAUAACGAGACCCUUAUCUAUUUUAACACACGUUUCAUAUUUUCACCAACUGUCAGUUUCAGACCUCAGAAUGAGUGACCCAGCAGUGAAGAGGGUGGUGAGCGACAUCAUUCGCUCUCCAGAAGACAAGCGCGAGUACAGAGGACUGGAGUUUACUAACGGCCUCAAAGCAGUCCUGAUCAGUGAUCCCACUACAGACAAGUCAUCAGCAGCACUCGAUGUGCACAUAGGCUCAUUGUCGGAUCCUUCAAACAUUGCUGGUCUGGCUCAUUUUUGUGAGCACAUGCUGUUUUUGGGCACUAAAAAAUAUCCCAAAGAGAACGAAUACAGUCAAUUCCUGAGCGAGCAUGCGGGGAGCUCCAAUGCUUUCACCAGCGGCGAGCACACCAACUACUACUUCGACGUAUCCCAUGAGCAUCUGCAAGGAGCGCUAGAUAGGUUUGCCCAGUUCUUUCUGUGUCCUCUGUUUGAUGAGAGCUGUAAGGACCGCGAAGUGAACGCUGUGGACUCGGAGCAUGAGAAGAACCUGAUGAAUGAUGCAUGGAGAUUAUUUCAGCUGGAGAAGGCCACUGGGAACCCUGAUCAUCCUUUUAGCAAAUUUGGAACAGGCAAUAAGCUGACCUUGGAAACACGGCCAUCCCAAAAAGGCAUUGACAUCCGUCAGGAGCUGCUGAAAUUCCACUCCACAUUUUAUUCUUCCAACCUGAUGGGACUUUGUGUUCUGGGAAGAGAAUCUCUGGAUGAAUUGACGUCUAUGGUGGUUAAACUCUUUGGAGAGGUGGAGAACAAAUCUGUGCCUAUCCCUGAAUUCCCACAGCAUCCCUUCCAGGAGGAGCAUCUUAGGCAAUUUUACAAGGUCGUUCCCAUUAAGGACAUCCGGAACCUGUAUGUGACGUUCCCUAUCCCCGACCUACAGAAGUACUACAAAUCGAACCCUGGCCAUUAUUUGGGCCACUUGAUAGGGCACGAGGGUCCAGGGAGCCUGCUGUCUGAGCUGAAAGCUAAAGGCUGGGUAAAUACUUUAGUUGGAGGCCAGAAAGAGGGAGCCAGAGGGUUCAUGUUCUUCAUCAUUAAUGUGGAUUUAACAGAAGAAGGACUAUUGCAUGUAGAGGACAUCAUCUUUCACAUGUUCCAGUAUAUUCAAAAGCUGCGCACAGAGGGCCCUCAGGAGUGGGUUUUCCAGGAAUGUAAGGAUUUGAACACUGUGGCUUUCAGGUUCAAGGAUAAAGAACGCCCACGUGGAUACACAUCUAAAGUAGCUGGACUUUUGCACUAUUAUCCAUUGGAGGAGGUACUUGCCGCAGAGUACAUGUUGGAGGACUUCAGACCAGACCUUAUCGAGAUGGUGCUAGAUAAGCUGAGACCAGAGAAUGUCAGGGUCGCUGUGGUCUCCAAGUCAUUUGAAGGACAGACUGACAAGACAGAAGAGUGGUAUGGAACACAGUACAAGCAGGAAUCUAUAUCUGAUGAGGCCAUUAAGAACUGGCAAAAUGCUGAUCUCAACGGCAAGUUCAAACUGCCAAUGAAGAAUGAGUUCAUCCCCACCAACUUUGAAAUUUACCCUCUUGAGAAGGACUCUCCUUCUUAUCCCACGUUGAUCAAGGAUACUGCGAUGAGUAAAGUGUGGUUCAAGCAGGAUGAUAAAUUCUUCCUGCCCAAAGCCUGUUUAAACUUUGAAUUCUUCAGCCCCUUUGCGUAUGUGGACCCGUUGCACUGUAACAUGGCAUAUUUGUACCUUGAACUUCUUAAGGACUCCCUCAACGAGUAUGCAUAUGCAGCCGAGCUAGCUGGCUUGAACUAUGACCUCCAAAAUACCAUCUAUGGGAUGUAUCUCUCAGUAAAGGGCUACAGUGACAAGCAGCACAUCCUGCUGAAGAAGAUCAUUGAGAAAAUGGCCACAUUUGAGAUUAACGAGAAACGCUUCGACAUCAUCAAGGAGGCGUACAUGAGGUCGCUGAAUAAUUUCCGGGCGGAGCAACCUCACCAGCAUGCCAUGUACUACCUGAGGCUGCUCAUGACGGAGGUGGCCUGGACCAAAGACGAGCUCAAAGAAGCACUGGAUGAUGUCACUCUGCCCCGCCUCAAGGCCUUCAUACCUCAACUGUUGUCACGGUUACACAUUGAAGCCCUGCUGCAUGGCAACAUCACCAAACAGUCUGCGCUCAGUAUGAUGCAGAUGCUGGAGGACACGCUAAUUGAGCAUGCUCACACCAAGCCCCUCCUCCCAAGCCAGCUGAUUCGCUACAGGGAGGUGCAGGUGCCGGAUGGUGGCUGGUAUGUGUACCAGCAGAGGAAUGAGGUCCAUAAUAACUGUGGUAUAGAGAUUUACUACCAGACGGACAUGCAGACCACACAUGACAAUAUGCUGUUGGAGCUCUUCUGUCAGAUCAUCCACGAGCCCUGUUUCAAUACACUGCGCACCAAGGAACAGCUGGGCUACAUUGUGUUCAGCGGUCCACGUAGGGCUAACGGUGUGCAGGGGCUCCGUUUCAUCAUCCAGUCUGAGAAAGCCCCUCACUACCUCGAGUCACGGGUGGAAGCCUUUCUCAAGAUCAUGGAGAAGAAUGUGGAGGAGAUGAGCGACGAAGCCUUCCACAAACACAUCCAGGCCCUGGCCAUCCGCCGUCUCGACAAGCCCAAGAAGCUGGCAGCUGAGUGCGCCAAGUACUGGGGCGAGAUCAUAUCUCAGCAGUACAACUUCGACAGGGAUAAUAUUGAAGUUGCUUAUCUGAAGACGUUAACGAAGGACAACAUUAUGCAGUUCUACAAGGAUCUGUUGUCUAUUGAUGCUCCUAAGAGGCACAAGGUGUCUGUGCACGUGCUGUCCCGGGAGAUGGACUCCUGUCCAGUGGUGGGCGAGUUCCCAGCUCAGAAUGACGUCAAUCUCGCUCCUGCUCCUUCUCUGCCUCAGCCUGUGGUGGUCCAGGACAUGACCGAGUUUAAGAGGAGUCUGCCUCUCUUCCCUCUCGCUAAACCUCACAUCAACUUCAUGGCUGCCAAACUGUGAUCUGCACCAUUUAAAGAGCAUUGCCGGGUUUGACCGAGACACAUGGCACCCCCUGAGUUUAGAGCCAGUAACACCAUCUUGUGUGUGUGUGUGUGUGUGUGUGUGUGUGUGUGUGUGUGUAAGAAAGAAUGACUCGGCAGAGGUGUAGCAUUGAUGAGUCACCAUGUUGGCUACACUGUGCGCUCACAGCCUGGUCACUGAGGAGCCGUUUAAAAUCACUUCACACACACAGCUGUUUUAGAGAAUACAAAAAUGAUUUGCUUAAUCAGGAAUAGUUCAUGUAGGUGUUGAGUGCUAACCACAGGGAUGUUUUACUUGUGUUUGCCUGAUCAUUAUGAUGAAAGGGUUAAAUUUUUCAUUUCAGACAUGCUGGAAAUAUUUUCUUUACUGUGCUUCUUGAAGAGUGAAUCAACAUUUUAGCAAUCAAGACCUUAUUAUUUUUUUUUCCCUAUUUACCCAGAAUCUUGGAAAAGCACUGAUAUUUUCACUUUGCCUGCAGGUUAAACAUCAUCACUUCUGGUUGCUUAGAUUUGUUUCUCAGCAUAUGCAUUUUUACUCUAUUUAUUACUUUUACAAAUAGACUAAUGGAAGAGGUUUCAGAAUUGUUUUGUUAAAUUUUCAACAAACUGCAUAUUUUGCUUACCUUAAAUCUCGUCAUGUAAAGUCAUCACUGGUGUGUUGAUUUUGCUGCUUUCUUCUUUUAAUCCAGCAGCUCUUAACCACCGCCAAUAAGGUAAUGCGUGAAAAGGUCAUUUGAAUGCCUCCUUCAGCUUUAGAACACUACAAACAGCACACAGUGUCUACAUUAUUGGAUAUUCUGCUACAUGUUUAGUUGCUAAUCCUGAAGAUUUAAAUUUAUUACACUUUGAUAGUGUUCAAACAGUACAGUGCACACAAAAUUUUGGGUAAAUAGCGAAAUCAUGUUUAAUUGCUAGAAUGUUGAAUUAUUGAGCCCAUUCCCCCAAAACUGUAUCACUUUGAGUUUGACUAUGCUCAUGCAACAAACUGUCUACACAUGGUUUUUUUGGCCUUAAGUAAAAAAAAAUAUUUUAAAUCCAAUGAACAGGUUUUAAAAAUCUGGUAUUUUAUUUUAGCUAGUUAAAUGUUUUGGAGGAGCUGUUUUAGGCUACUGAGUAGAAUGGGCAUGAAGCCGUUUUAUUAGGUUGCUUUCUUAAGGAUCAUACUCAAAGUGAUUAUGGCUUUUUAUUUUAUUUGAAGUUGAAGGAGAACUUUAAUAAAUCAUUUUUAAAUAUAGUUUUCAUUUUGUUACAAUGUUUCUUGAAAAAUGAGCAUUAUAUUUUUAGUGAUAUGAAGCCAAGGGAUGAUUAAGUUUAAUAAGUCACUGUUUCCAACUUCUCUGUAGUUGGUGUGGUGUGGUGUUUGUUCAUCGGAGGAAAUCACUCACUGGCUGUAGAUUUGUGGUUUCAGUUUUGAGCUCAUGAUUAAUGAGGCUCAUAUGUGAACAUGGACACUCUUUAUCAUGCUCUUUGUGUGGUUUAUUCUGAACCCUUUCUUGCUGGACAUAAAUAUGCACCUCACGUUAAGAGCAAUAAUAUCACGGGGCUGAGGGUGAGCGUCUUAAACCUGACGUCCUGCAUGUGCUGUUAGGUCUCAAUCAGGUCAGUGGUGUUGGAAUGUUAGGAAGCACUUCGGAGUUUCAUCCGCAUCUGUUUCCUCUGCAUGGUGCAUGUGGUGGUAGAUGAGCAUCUCUCAGGUCUCGAAUAGCCUUGCCAAGCCUAACCGCUGCACUACUGUUGUUUUCUGUCGAUGGCAAAACCAGCUUUAUUUUUGACCUUUAGAACAUUCUCAGGCCUGCAACUGUAAUGCUGCUUUUACUAGACAAAUACGUGGGUGUACAGAGAUAUUCCUCCAACGAUCAUAACCAUACUCACCGUUUUACAGUGUUUAUCCACUAUAAGUGAGAAACUGGGGCAGCAACUUUCUAGUUAUUUAUUUUUUAAUCCCCAGAUGUAUAGUGCUUAACUUUAGAACAGCUACUUCAGCCAGUGUGUGUUGGUUUUUUUUUGGCACCAAGAUCUGUACAGCAGUAUAUAGUGUGGAAUAUUUGGAAUGGCUCCUUUAACCAAUUAGAGGCAUUGUUUUUAAAGCUAACCAAUCAAGUUUCCCAACACAUGUUUAGACUGAGUGAAAUGGGGAGGGGAAAAAAAGUUGGGUUGAAGCGUGAAUUUGUAACAAGCGUAAGUUCAGCCAUACAGCUAAUUAGUUAGUAUUUACAGGGUGACAGUAAAUGCUUGUGAAGCAUAUGCAUUUGAUGAUUUAGAAGAAAUUGAACCAGAUAAUGAGCACCAGUCAGCAUGUGCAAGAAUUAAGAAUUGCUGGGAAGUAACACUAAAACCCCUGAGACAGGAGAUGUUUGACCUCUACUGAAUGGUACUGCUGCGUGUGAGACUGUCAUACAAUUAAAAAAUGAUCAAAUGA
Molecule: RNA transcript, 5840 nt
Organism: Pangasianodon hypophthalmus (striped catfish)
Lineage: Eukaryota; Metazoa; Chordata; Actinopteri; Siluriformes; Pangasiidae
Gene: ide
Gene name: insulin-degrading enzyme
Exons: 26
Source: RefSeq, a predicted model, not a curated record